RNAcentral lists this ribosomal RNA (253 nucleotides) under uncultured bacterium. Its description in RNAcentral is "partial 16S ribosomal RNA". It matches the Rfam family "Bacterial small subunit ribosomal RNA", at positions 524 to 776 of the family's 1533-position model. The record is from RNAcentral.
CACGUAGGAGGCGAGCGUUGUCCGGAAUUACUGGGCGUAAAGGGCGCGUAGGCGGCCUGCUAAGUCGGAUGUGAAAUCCCUCGGCUCAACCGAGGAACUGCAUCCGAUACUGGCGGGCUUGAAUCCGGGAGAGGGAUGUGGAAUUCCAGGUGUAGCGGUGAAAUGCGUAGAUAUCUGGAGGAACACCGGUGGCGAAGGCGGCAUCCUGGACCGGUAUUGACGCUGAGGCGCGAAGGCUAGGGGAGCAAACGGG